This 336-nucleotide long non-coding RNA is filed under the name Bos taurus (domestic cattle). Its description in RNAcentral is "long non-coding RNA NONBTAT025310". The record is from RNAcentral. Lineage: Eukaryota; Metazoa; Chordata; Mammalia; Artiodactyla; Bovidae.
CUGCAGUCAUCUUGGACCUUUUAAACACAAAUUUUAAACUCAACCAAGCUGUGAUAAGUGGAAUGGUUACUGUUUAUACUGUGGUAUGUUUUUGAUUACAGCAGACAAUGCUUUCUUUUCCAGUCGUCUUUGAGAAUAAGGAAAAAAUCUUCAGAUGCAAUGGUUUUGUGUAGCAUCUUGUCUAUCAUGUUUUGUAAAUACUGGAGAAGCUUUGACCAAUUUGACUUAGAGAUGGAAUGUAACUUUGCUUACAAAAAUUGCUAUUAAACUCCUGCUUAAGGUGUUCUAAUUUUCUGUGAGCACACUAAAAGCGAAAAAUAAAUGUGAAUAAAAUGU